Non-coding RNA from Solanum lycopersicum (tomato), 119 nucleotides. NCBI's taxonomy places the organism in Eukaryota, Viridiplantae, Streptophyta, Magnoliopsida, Solanales, Solanaceae. The record is from Rfam.
AGCCAUGAAGUGAGCACAAAGCGAAUUAUUCUUUCGCCUUUUACUGAAGAAUACUGUGUGUGCGCUGCUCUUAUAAUGGCAUACGCCAAUUUUUGGAGGGGUUCUCUUUUUUGAGUACC